GGGAUAAUCUCGGGAAACUGAGGAUAAUACCCCAUANGUCUGAUCUGCUGGAAUGCUUUCAGGCCGAAAACUCCGGUGCCUUAAGAUUGGUCUGCGGUCUAUCAAGCUGUAGUGGGUGUAAUGGACCCACUAGCCCGUGACGGAUAUGGGCCUUGAGAGAGGGAGCCCACAGAUGGACUCUGAGACAUGAGUCCAGGCCCUACGGGGCGCAGCAGUCGCGAAAACUUCGCAAUGGGGGCAACCCCGACGAGGGAAUUCCAAGUGCCAGCACUUUGUGUUGGCUGUUCUCCUGUCUAAAAAACAGGAGGAGUAAGGGGCGGGUAAGACGGGUGCCAGCCGCCGCGGUAAUACCCGCGCCCCUAGUGGUGGUCGAUAUUAUUGAGCCUAAAACGUCCGUAGCCGGUCUUCUAAAUCCUUGGGUAAAUCGGGCAGCUCAACUGUCCGAAGUCCGGNGGAGACUGGGAGACUUGGGACCGGGAGAGGUCAGAGGUACUUCUGGGGUAGGGGUAAAAUCCUGUAAUCCUGGAAGGACCACCGGUGGCGAAGGCGUCUGACUAGAACGGAUCCGACGGUGAGGGACGAAGCCCUGGGGCGCAAACGGGAUUAGAUACCCCGGUAGUCCAGGGUGUAAACGCUGCGGG
Molecule: ribosomal RNA, 641 nt
Filed under: unidentified archaeon
Lineage: Archaea
Description: bacterial SSU rRNA
Rfam family: Archaeal small subunit ribosomal RNA
Source: RNAcentral